Molecule: long non-coding RNA, 295 nt
Filed under: Coffea arabica (coffee)
Lineage: Eukaryota; Viridiplantae; Streptophyta; Magnoliopsida; Gentianales; Rubiaceae
Description: long non-coding RNA (CARA_LNC000217)
Source: RNAcentral
ACAAAAGGCUCAAAGUUAAAAAACGUCCUUCCCGUCAUGCUUUUUUCUUUUCUUUUUCAUCCACAAAGACAAGGGAAAGAGGAAGGAGAAGUAAAGGUGUAGAAAGUAUAGUACAGUAGAGAAUCAAGUAGUAGAAAAAUGGACCGGCAAUUUCAUCAUUGAUUUGUCUUCAAUCGGAGCAUCAAGCAGCGCAUCGGGUUGUCUUGAUUAAACCCAUGAUUCUCCAAGCGAGUUUGCUAUAUUGAAAAUAAAAAAGAAUAGAGAAGUUAUUGCUGAAAUUAUCACUAGAGUUGGA